GGAAGAGCAUAAGUAAUGGGCAGAAGGAGAGAGGAAGAAGAGAAUAUUCUCCUGGUUGUCUGAUGGAGUCAUCAAUUUCCACGUCAAAGAGGAGAAAGAGUAGCAUCCUGGGAAGCCAGACGAAGACACCAUAAAGGAGGCUUAGCCUGUAUAUCCUUUAACUAGCUCGAAAGAUUAUCUCCCAGAGAUAUGGUGUGCACAUUGAAGAGUGUGGCAACAGGGUAGUUAGGUAUCAAUGUGGCAUUUUUGACCACUCCCUUAAGGUGAAGGCCGGAAGCACAGAUUCAUUUUCACAUGGCAAGUGCAUCACGUUGCGACAUUCUUCUGAGUGCGAUGUGUUCGUCUGUUCUCACGGGUUUAUUUUUGUACUUUACAACGUAAAUUUGUUUUAUAUGCUUCAUAUCUAUUUCAAGAUCAAAUCCAAUUUGGUCCCAAGGAGUCUAAGUACAGGAACCUCUCCUGUGUUGGGUAGUUGUGGGUACUGGUCUGAUGUUAGCCUCAUCUGCUAAACUGUCUUCUUUCAACACAACUUGUGUCCUGGUGUGGGGCUUCCCACACUGUUCAGCUCAGCCUGGAAAAAUCACUGCUGUACAGGCACAUCACACCAGGAGCGUCUCUGGUAAGGGACCCUUACAUUCAUUCAUUCCUCCCCUUCACUCUGUGAGGAUGUACACGACCUCUGUCGGUUUUUGUCUGUUCCUUGCUUUGUGCUACCAGUACAUGCCAAAUCAAUUCUUGCAGUUGACAGUGGGGGGGAAGCUAAUUUAGGGUGGACAGAAGUGUAACAAACGGAGAAAGGAGGUUCAAUUUGCCUGCCUGCCUUCCUUCUUUCUUUUUAAUUGUUUAUCCCCUCGUGAAGGGACUGUCUAGCAUUGUAGUACAUCAAUGAUCCUUGUGACCUGGGGCAGACUUUGAAUCACUGAAACAACAAAGGGCAAAAUACAUUUCCUGCCCUGGCACUAUUACUUUAUACCCUGUAUGGAUGUACUUUACUUAUUAACCCAAGGUAAAACUGCACUACGGUGAGUUUCACUUUGACUCAGUACCAGCCAUCGAGUGCAGAUUGUUUGCAGAGGAGAAACUGCCAUUUCUAUUGCUGGCCAAUAAAAUACUGUGCUAUUUAGAAAAGGCAGUUGAGUGCUUAGAAAGCAUCAGGGUAAGCCUAUUAAAUAAAACAAUGGGUGGUGGUUGUUUAUGCAGAUGCCCAAAAUGAUCUGGAAAUGGGUUUAACUAAAUCAAAGAUAACACGUUAGACUUUACGUAACCUGUUUGGAAACAUAAUGUUAGUCACUUAAAAGAUCCCUUUUCCUCUGCUAUUCUUAAAGCGUUGCCGAGUCCUGAGUGUCCAGGGGGUGAGUGAGCAAGUUGUGUGACCCAGCCCCUGCAGACCACAGGUGACGUCUGUUCCAGCACACCUGGCCAGGAACCGGUCGUCUCCAUUCCUUCCAUCGCCACCAUUUAAGCUAAUUCCAACUGGUUUCACUUGUUGGCCCACGCUCCCUUGGCUCAGGGGUCAGCCUCGGUGACAGUAUGUGCUUAGCAGAGGUGUUCUGUAUUUUGACUGAUACAUAGCUGAAUCAAGUCCUUCCCUGGUGAGUGGUUCUGCAAAGCUGAAGAGGAGGAAUGUAACCGAUUCCUCGAUGAAAAGCUGCAGCAAAUAGGUGAACCGCUGCUGCUCCGAAGCCGCCCUGCUUCCCAAGCACAUGGGCAGAUUCUGUGCAUGCAGUCUUCUGGGUGGGGAGGACCACGAGUACACGUGUACUGUAGGAAAUGAGUGAGGAGGGAGUGUUGUUCUGCAGCAUCGCUGGGGACGAUGACUAUUACUGGCCAGGCUGGGGGAGGUCGUGCUGGAGUGCUUACUCAGCUGCAGUGUUGCAACGGAGGCAAUUGUAUGUUUCUAGCAGGGCAUUACAGGGGCUUGCUCAUUCCUAAUUGCUCUCUUAUCUGACUUGGUGGCCACGGCAAUCCAAACUGUAUUGAGCAAAGCACAUAAACAGUUUCGUCUAGCUUCAUUAUGAAGGUAGGAAUACUUGCUUAAUUUUCAGUGGAUUGUGCUGUUGCUCUGGCAUUAGUAAUGCUGACAGAGUUUAUUUGCCAGGAUUCGGGAAGAGCAGUGCUAUAAGCACACAGCCUAAUUGUGAUCAUUAUGCACACUAUUUAGCAGUUAUGAUAUGACAGUGCAAAUAUUGCUCGUGGUUUUGCUGAUUCACAAUGAAAUUCUCAAUAUUUGUUCAAAGCAACAUUAAUCUCAUGGUAAAUUGAGGAACAGAGUACUUCAGUUUGCUCUCUUUCCCCGCUCCUGCCUUUAAAUACAAAGAAAAGCUGCUGUCAGUGUAUUAAGGUUGUUAGAGGCCAAAAGCUGGCCCCUCACUUUGGGAACAGCCACUCAUUAUACCUUUAUAGUCAGUUUUAUUUGGUUUGCUAACAGGCUGACCUGGAACAGGUUUAUCAAUGUGGAGUGUCAAAUCCAGCGCAUAAAGCUGUGCUCCUGCUGCUGUACGAUGUACAGCACGUUAAGACCGAGGCCAUCUGUACAGGGAUCUCUGUGCGUUUGCUGUGAGGUUGAUCCCACCAGGCAACAACCUGCACUCCCCAGCCCCUCUCACCAAGCAGUGCAGCACUCUGUCCUGGCUGUACUUCAGCCUGCAGCCUUGUUCAGGCUGUGGGUUGCUGUGGCUUCGCUCUCUAGCUGGGCAGGAGUAUUUCACAAAGCACUGAGCAGAGCCCGGUGAGGUACCUCCUGCUUACCAAGUUGUUCCAUACCAUUCUAAGUAAAAUUAGCACCUAUGUCAGUGUGACUGAUUUGCACUGGACACGUUGGAACAAAACUUUAUACUGCUAUGUUGUCCAUCAGGUCACAGUUAAAUUAAUGAGUGCUGUGAGAGCUUUUCUGGUUUGUACAAAUAAAUUCCCGAGCUGAAGGCACUACUUGCCAGACUUUGCUGACAAGCUUCAUAUUAGGGUAGAUCUGGCCUAGGAUCUCCCAUGAGACAGUGUCCCUCUUUUCUUACUUUCAGACACUAACAGAGCUCCAGCAUCUAAAUCUGUUCGUAUUUACUCCUCCUGCCCCAACCCUAUUCCUGCAACAACACCCUGACCUGAGCCCCCUGCAGUAUCCAAAACCCUGUGGCCAAGGGGCUCCCUGCCUAAGGUCAAAGGACUGCUGCUGUUUCAAACAUAUCCUCUCGCCACGUUUACAGCUUCACUACAGGUAGCUGUGUGUGUGAACAAUUGCCAUAGAUCCAAAGGGUUGUUUCCCUCUGUGGCUGUACCCAGGGACAGUCUAAGCCCCUGCAGAAGAGGUGAGCCCUGCCUCUUUCCCACCCUCUUCUCCCCUGCUCAGCCUUGUUGCAAGAUAGCUCCCGUCAUUAAGUGCUGUUUAAGGCUUUACCAGCAGUGACUUUUUCCAGCCAAGUCCUUGAGAAGGAAGAAUACCUCUUAGCCGUAAGCCUGCUGAUUUAUUGCUGAAUGAGAUUAUUGCUUUAAGUGAAACCGCGUGAAGCAAAAGGCAUAGAAAGGAUUUAGGCUGCACCUGGCUACAGCAGACAGCAUUAAAGGGAGCUUAGUUAUCACAGUUAUUCCCUUUGCUCUUCCUUCCAGGCAAGGGAAACGUUGAUUUGUUCUGGGACUGGGAGAGUUUGCUGGCUAGGAAGGUGAAUGGCUCAAGCAGUGUUUUCCGAUCUGUCACGGUCACUUCCCACAGUCUCACUUUUUCAGCCCUUGCCCAUUGCUGCGCUGCUUCUGUCUCCACUUGUCUUUGCUCCAGGAGGUCCAUUUUGUUUCCCAAGACGAUGACUGUUACCUCCUUUUUGUCUCUGAAGAUAUCAAUCUCUUUUUUGAGCUGUU
Molecule: long non-coding RNA, 3846 nt
Filed under: Gallus gallus (chicken)
Lineage: Eukaryota; Metazoa; Chordata; Aves; Galliformes; Phasianidae
Source: RNAcentral